CUCGUCGGGGCGGCGCCCGCGCCUGGGAGCCUCGGGAACAGUUCAGUUGUCUACAUUAACACUGCUGAUGUCAGCACUAAGGCAUCCUUGCUCUUUGUACCCAAGGGCUGUGAUGUCAGCCCACUGGGACCUCCCCUGAGCCUGGCGUCUUGGGCUUUGCUGGAGCUUAGGCACACAGGCGGCAUCCACGACUGAUCCCAGCUAUUCGGACUCCAGAGCCCCUCCCCAAAUACACCUCUACAGAGAUGUCAGAACGGCUGCGAUACAAAAAGCUGACAAUACGAAUUGCUGGCAAGGAUGCAGAGUAACACACUCCCGUUCGCUGUUGGGGAGGUAAACGGUGCACCCGUUUGACGGGCAGCCUGGCACUUCUUACAAAGGAAAAUGGAGAAAUUGUGGGACAUCCACACAAUGGAACAAUAUUCAGUGACAGAAAAGAAGAAGCCAUGAAGCCCCACAAAAAUGUGGAUGAGUUUAAACACAUAUUGCUAGCCGAAAGAAGUCAGUCUGAAACUCCCACAGUUCAUUUUUAUGAUAUUCUGGAAAGAUUAAGAAAUUGAAUCAGAAAGAGAUUGAGUGAUUUACCCAGAGGUAUACAACUAAUAAAUAAGAAUGCUGAGCUGUAACUGAGGAAGAUUAUAUCAAAGAUCCUGCAUCUCUAAACUCUUGUGGAAAAAUUGC
Molecule: long non-coding RNA, 681 nt
Filed under: Equus caballus (horse)
Lineage: Eukaryota; Metazoa; Chordata; Mammalia; Perissodactyla; Equidae
Description: lncRNA (ENSECAG00000044210.1)
Source: RNAcentral